UACGAAGGGGGCUAGCGUUGUUCGGAAUCACUGGGCGUAAAGGGCGCGUAGGCGGUCUGCUAAGCGUGUGGUGAAAGCUCGGGGCUCAACCCCGAGUCGGCCGUGCGAACUGGUGGACUCGAGCACGUCAGAGGCAGGCGGAAUUCCGGGUGUAGCGGUGGAAUGCGUAGAGAUCCGGAAGAACACCGGUGGCGAAGGCGGCCUGCUGGGACGUGGCUGACGCUGAGGCGCGACAGCGUGGGGAGCAAACAGG
This 253-nucleotide ribosomal RNA is filed under the name uncultured bacterium. RNAcentral describes it as "partial 16S ribosomal RNA". It matches the Rfam family "Bacterial small subunit ribosomal RNA", at positions 524 to 776 of the family's 1533-position model. The record is from RNAcentral.